CAGUAGCCGCGGGAAUACAGAGGAUGCAAGCGUUAUCCGGAAUGAUUGGGCGUAAAGCGUCUGUAGGUGGCUUUUCAAGUCCGCCGUCAAAUCCCAGGGCUCAACCCUGGACAGGCGGUGGAAACUACCAAGCUGGAGUACGGUUGGGGCAGAGGGAAUUUCCGGUGGAGCGAUGAAAUGCGUUGAGAUCGGAAAGAACACCAACGGCGAAAGCACUCUGCUGGGCCGACACUGACACUGAGAGACGAAAGCUAGGGGGGCAAAUGGGAUUAGAUACCCCAGUAGUCCCUGUCUCUUAUAC
Molecule: ribosomal RNA, 301 nt
Filed under: uncultured bacterium
Lineage: Bacteria
Description: partial 16S ribosomal RNA
Rfam family: Bacterial small subunit ribosomal RNA
Source: RNAcentral